GGGGGUGACCGGCUUUGACGGUCUGUUCAUUGAAAGAUGUGCGACGCCGUGCUCGCCUGUAGUCACGUUAAAGGACAGGCAAACAUACUUGCAAAAAAUACACUUGCAAGCGUGAAGUCUCCGUACUUCGGUGCGCGUGACUUCACGUUCGCCUACGCGACUGCCUAACGGCACCUUCGCCUAGCGACGUUCAUACCCCUUGGUUUCUACAGCUCGGGAUAUGGGCGGAAUGAUCUGUAGAAUCGGCGCGCGACCUCCCGCUCGCGCUGUUUAACUAAGGGAUCAGGCAAGAAUGGUUUCGCGAGCGUUCCUCGCAUCUUGCCCCAGACUCUAACGCUCGCUACGCGUCGUAGACUCUCUUUCUCUAACAUUCUCGGACCGGGGUUCGAUUCCCCGCACCUCCACCA
RNAcentral lists this transfer-messenger RNA (407 nucleotides) under Candidatus Kaiserbacteria bacterium CG10_big_fil_rev_8_21_14_0_10_56_12. It matches the Rfam family "transfer-messenger RNA". Rfam says of the family: Bacterial tmRNA, also known as 10Sa RNA or SsrA, is named for its dual tRNA and mRNA-like properties. Its role is to liberate the mRNA from a stalled ribosome. The record is from RNAcentral. RNAcentral also lists the same sequence under 1 other name. Lineage: Bacteria; Candidatus Kaiseribacteriota.